Molecule: ribosomal RNA, 429 nt
Filed under: Bacteroidota bacterium
Lineage: Bacteria; Pseudomonadati; Bacteroidota
Description: Bacteroidetes bacterium partial 16S ribosomal RNA
Rfam family: Bacterial small subunit ribosomal RNA
Source: RNAcentral
UAGGGAAUCUUCCGCAAUGGACGCAAGUCUGACGGAGCAACGCCGCGUGAGUGAAGAAGGAUUUCGGUUCGUAAAACUCUGUUGUUAGAGAAGAACAGCGCAUAGAGUAACUGUUAUGCGUGUGACGGUAUCUAACCAGAAAGCCACGGCUAACUACGUGCCAGCAGCCGCGGUAAUACGUAGGUGGCAAGCGUUGUCCGGAUUUAUUGGGCGUAAAGCGAGCGCAGGCGGUCAAUUAAGUCUGAUGUGAAAGCCCCCGGCUCAACCGGGGAGGGUCAUUGGAAACUGGUUGACUUGAGUGCAGAAGAGGAGAGUGGAAUUCCAUGUGUAGCGGUGAAAUGCGUAGAUAUAUGGAGGAACACCAGUGGCGAAGGCGAGUCUCUGGUCUGUAACUGACGCUGAGGCUCGAAAGCGUGGGUAGCAAACAGG